AGCUCAGACAUCAAGUUUCCACCAAAUCAAAGCACCCUUUCCUAAUAGUCGGAGCUACCUGUUCACAUAUUAUUCCUACAGAUUCAGCAACAUUAUCGCGCAAAGCAAGCUCAAAUUCCAUGGCAGUCGAGAGGAUUUUCUCGACCGAUGAAACGAACAUCAAUCAACGAUGUGGAACUGAUUCCAUCGACGUUUCCAUGGAGUAGAUAACAAAAACAACAACAACAACGAGUGUUUUGCUAGAACAGAAGACAAGCAGAAGCAGGUUGAUCACAAGCGUAGAAGAAGAGUUCUUCAAUUUUCCAUACAGAUCUUCAAGUCGUGUUGGGACGCGACUGCGAGCUGCCAAUCCGAUGAGUGUGUUUCUGCCACCGGUGCGGGAUCGUCACGGAUGCCACGCUGCCUUGAGAUCAGUUCCGGAAUCCAAUGGUGGAAAGUCUUGGAAAGGGGGAAGGCUAUUCCAAGUUUGAAGUCUACGUAUUGCGAUGGGUGUGGGUAGUUAGUUCUCCAAGCCCAGAGAUGAAAAGAUUCGGUCCAGUGCGAGGCCGAGGUCGCGCGGCGGCCAGUAGUUUCCCCUACUACACAGCAAAAUCCCCGGAGAACACCCCACCACACCACUCGCUCGCCGCGCCAUCGAAGGCCAUUCCCCGCACAACGAUCCUCAUACGCCCCGUCCUUUUCUCCUCCUGCAGAUAAUAAUAACCUGCAUGUGUGAAUGGGAUGCACGGUGGGUCCUGUACACCGGGGACGGUACCGGAGUGUCUGGUAGCAUCGUGAAGGCUUCUGAAACUAAACAGGCUCCUGCACUCGAAUCGUGACUGAAUACCAGCUCUCGUAGAAUCUUCGGUAGCCUUGUAUGUGAACCUGUAUAGGCGGUUACACAUACGUGGGAGCUAGUGGUGGGAGAUAUUUGGGAGGGCGUAGGAGCAGUUGUUACGGUUUUGCACAUGAAUAGAAAUGCGCCACAGAAUAGCUUCUGUAGUGGAACCAAUAUUCUAGGAGGAUUCCAGCUUCCAGGGAUUGGGACUAGAUUUGGUUUAAACUCAGGUAGGAGGCCAUGAUGGGCUCCAGCAUUCCUCCUUCAGCCGAGUCGCUGUGGAUCGUCACAUGACAGCUCUUUUAUCGCUCACCUGUCCUUUUGGCAAAGUCUAAGACGGCCCUAAACCACUUUGCUGCUUCUGGUUAUCUUUCUAGCUGAAUUCGUCUUCAUGAGCUUUUGUCUCAGCCAAGGUGGGUUGUGUUGCUUAGAGGUCGCCCACGAACUUUGCCGUAGUUUUUCUUUAUUUUUCUUCUCUUUGAACCCAGGAACUGCUUACACUAUACAGCUUCUUGAUCGAAGUACAAGGCGGACGUGUCAUCUUGACGUUGCUGCUUCCAUAAUUCCACCCACCGCACAACGAGUAAUGCAUGUGUUUAAUGCGGAUUAGGAUGACUUGAAGGCGCUGCGAGUCAUGCACGCGCUCCUGUAAUAAUGCCGGAUGCGACUUUGAUCAGUUUCUUCAAACUUUGAUCAAUUGAUAUGCAUUGGGAAGAAGAUCUAUUUCCUAAACAAUCAUUUUUUAUUGCGUUGAGCAGGGAAGCCUGCCCGGGAGGGUUCUGUACCUUUGCGACGCUUCACCUUGCUUGCCACCUUAGUCGACUAAUAGGUGCUGGCACUGUUCCGGGUGUUGUGAUCGUGUUCACUUCGGGUUGCAUGCACAAUGGGGGAACUUUGUUAGAGUGUGUUCAUCAAAGAUAUCCGGUAUACGCGAACUCACAAUUUCGACACCAACAAAGUACCAUGUUCACGCUGUUGCCGCUGAGGUACGAGAGGGUUCAGAGCAUUAUACCUGGACUUCCCCAAUUACGCAGCGAUAGGGUCGCUAUGUUGUAGAACUUCUUCUAUACAAUUGCACUCGCGGACCAUCAUAUCUCUUCCCUAGUGUAGACAGUCCAGUGUGGCCAUGGAGAAUCUGAUUAGUUUGCAAAGCGUAGGACACAGGAACAUCGGGGAACCCUCGGCUCCGAGGCCCAUUGGAGUUCACCAGGGAUCUGUACUCGUGGUCUUGGAUGUUAACAAGGGCGUCGCUCCAGCGGCUCUGUACUGGGCUCUUGCUAACGUCGUUCGGAAAGGAGACAAACUCAAAUUACUGGGAAUCAUCACUCACGUUUCCAAUGCCAUGGGAUUCAUGAUACGGGUGGAUCAGUCAACCUGGAAUAGUCCCAAUAUCAUGGAGCUCCAGUUUGAGAUCGCCACGAAGAAGGAGGCCAUCUGGAGAACGGCUCACAUUAAAGAUUGGUGUCAGAGAGCAGGGGUGAAGCUAGAGGUGGACGUGAAGGCUGGAAACAAUCCUAAAGUGAUCGCCAUCGACGAAGCAAAAUCAAUAGGCGCUUAUCACGUGGUUCUGGACAAGCACAUGAAGAAAGACAAAAAAUACUUCGUCGACAACCUGUCUUGUUUGGUUUCCCGGAUUCGCAGCAGCGGAGGGGCAGAGACCAUUCGCUCGUACGCAACGAGCAGUAAGCUUCCCCCCAUGGCGCCCACCACACCUAAGGGAUCAUCACAAGCUGGACACCAAUCCAAGGCAUCGAUGGGCUUGAAUGGCUCUCACCGCGGCGGGUGGUCUAUGUCGUCCACAUCUUUCGAGCUUGGCGGAGAUUCAAGCUGUGAUGAAUUCAGCUUCCAAGAGGUUACUGAUCCUCUGUCCGCACCCAGUACUGACGAAUCCAUCGAGCGACCGUCUUGCCCGGAUAUCUCGCAGCUCUUGGCUCGCACAUCUAUGGAGUUGGGUGUACCCAAACAGCCUCCGAAUCUGUAUAACCUACUCCGCGGGCCAUUUCAUGAUGGCGAAAAUGGAUUAAACAAGAACAACCCUUUACGCAAACCAGCUGUUCGGAAGUGGUUGAAUGAAGAUGACCGCAUCAAUGUGUCCGAUCUUGAGCAGCAGGGACCCUUAACUCCUAGAUCCGAGUUUCGGUUUGAGCAAAGGCCAUCUACAGCUAGAGGGCCACAAAGAGUUCACCACCAGCAAAUAAUGAGCAACAGUUGGAUCGGGCAAAUAAAUGUAGCCCCUGAAUUUGGCCAGAGCAAGAUGGGCCGGCAUACACUCACUGCUCAGCUGCGAACCCAAGCGUCCUUCAACAAUGGUCGGAAACAUUUCCGAGCAGAGAAGAUCAGUAUGGACAUGCACUGGCCCCUCAUGCAUUGGGCAGAUUGCCGAGCCAUGAAAUUGCGGUCACGGCAUGGGACCGGUAGUGUUGUGUCCUCUUCCAACAGCUCCAUGAGCAACUUGCGCACUGCAGUGCGACGCAGAGUCUCUGUGUCAUCAGGUCUCAACUACAGUGACAUGGUAGAUUCUGACUAGCUGCUUUUUCCAGCACUUGUAGGAAAAAAUGUUGUUUAAAUGUUUUCUUUAUAUUUUUUCUGGGGACCCAGUAAGAGCAGUUUCCAUCAGUUCCAAGGACGAGACGGUGAAUCUAGCCUUGCAGCUCACAGUCAAAAAUACCUCUCAACGGUUCGAUCACAAAUAACCAUCUGGCUGCAGAACUGCUAGUCGCAGCUCCCUCCUGCUUUGAGUUCUCUGCAUCAUGGAAUAGCACGUCAUUUCAUGGCCGGACAGGUCUUGGAUUUGUUUCUAGAUCUGGCGAGCUACAGUGCUGGAGUCUGUGUGGAUCUCCGAAGGGCACUACCCGUCUUUCACAUACUGAAAAAAAGAAAAGAAAAAGACACCUUCGGCUGGAGUUGGCGAAGCACACUACCUCCAAAAUUGAAGCAUUCAUUUCAGUGCAUGAACAGGCCGCGCAGCAUGAAUUAGGGUUCAAGACUGGUCCUAGGCAAUCGAGCUCAAAAAGCGACUACUAUCUAAUUAAUUUAGCUAAAAGAUGCUUCGGACUUGAAGGAUUUCCAGUCAUGUUCGGAAAUGCAGCUUGUGAAGUCUUACACCUAUGUUGGAAGGAUGGUGCGCAACAACACCUUGAACAAUCAACAGGUCCUGGAUGUGUUUUCAACACCUUCAGUUGUACAAUUGAUUAGCGAUACGAUCUUUUUAAGUAGUAGGCAGUCGAGCUGACAUGCAGUGACAUCAAGGUGAUCGAAGAAACGGGUUAUCCAGGCAGGAUUAAAUCUGCUGUCAAGGAGACUAAGGAAUGAGAUCCUAGAUGCACUUUUUUGUCACUUACAUUGAUGUAUUGGAAAUAUCAUCACAAAUCGGAGCAGUCCAUGUUUAGAUCCUAACACCUCAUUGUAAAGAACAGAACAAAACACAAGAUAGAUUACUGAAAGUCACGGCUUUUAACUUGAGAUUAGAAUUUCCCAACCAUGAGCAGGAAGAUACACCAUAUGGCCGAGUUGUGAACUGUUACGGAUUCACACAGACAUUCAUAACACGUUACGUGUUGUCAAGUUUUUUCAGCAAUGCAGAAUCUCCAUGGCAGCAAUGUACGUUGAAGCUACACACACUUUCUUGAUAA
Non-coding RNA from Physcomitrium patens, 4449 nucleotides. The record is from RefSeq and is a predicted model, not a curated record. Lineage: Eukaryota; Viridiplantae; Streptophyta; Bryopsida; Funariales; Funariaceae.